CAGAGAGUAGUUUAAUUAAAAAUAUUAGUUUUGGAGAUUAAUGAUAAAGGAAAACUCUUUUUCUCUGA
RNAcentral lists this transfer RNA (68 nucleotides) under Furcatopanorpa longihypovalva. RNAcentral describes it as "tRNA-Pro". It matches the Rfam family "tRNA". Rfam says of the family: Transfer RNA (tRNA) molecules are approximately 80 nucleotides in length. Their secondary structure includes four short double-helical elements and three loops (D, anti-codon, and T loops). The record is from RNAcentral. Lineage: Eukaryota; Metazoa; Arthropoda; Insecta; Mecoptera; Panorpidae.